CCUGACUGCUAUCGGAUUGAUACUAAGCCAUGCGAGUCAUUGUAGCAAUACAAGGCAGACGGCUCAGUAACGCGUAGUCAAUCUACCCUAUGGACGGGAAUAACCUCGGGAAACUGAGAAUAAUGCCCGAUAGAACAUUAUGCCUGGAAUGGUUUAUGUUUCAAAUGAUUUAUCGCCAUAGGAUGGGACUGCGGCCUAUCAGUUUGUUGGUGAGGUAAUGGCCCACCAAGACUAUUACAGGUACGGGCUCUGAGAGGAGUAGCCCGGAGAUGGGUACUGAGACACGGACCCAGGCCCUAUGGGGCGCAGCAGGCGAGAAAACUUUGCAAUGUGCGAAAGCACGACAAGGUUAAUCCGAGUGGUUUCUGCUAAAGAAACCUUUUGUCAGUCCUAGAAACACUAACGAAUAAGGGGUGGGCAAGUUCUGGUGUCAGCCGCCGCGGUAAAACCAGCACCUCAAGUGGUCAGGAUGAUUAUUGGGCCUAAAGCAUCCGUAGCUCGUUUUGUAAGUUUUCGGUUAAAUCCAUGCGCUUAACGUAUGGGCUGCCGGGAAUACUGCAUAACUAGGAAGUGGGAGAGGUAGACGGUACUCGGGAGGAAGGGGUAAAAUCCUUUGAUCUCUUGAUGACCACCUGUGGCGAAGGCGGUCUACCAGAACACGUUCGACGGUGAGGGAUGAAAGCUGGGGGAGCAAACCGGAUUAGAUACCCGGGUAGUCCCAGCUGUAAACUAUGCAAACUCAGUGAUGCAUUGGCUUAUGGCCAAUGCAGUGCUGCAGGGAAGCCGUUAAGUUUGCCGCCUGGGAAGUACGUACGCAAGUAUGAAACUUAAGGAAUUGGCGGGGGAGCACACAAGGGGUGAAGCCUGCGGUUCAUUGGAGUCA
RNAcentral lists this ribosomal RNA (883 nucleotides) under uncultured archaeon. RNAcentral describes it as "bacterial SSU rRNA". It matches the Rfam family "Archaeal small subunit ribosomal RNA", at positions 21 to 914 of the family's 1478-position model. The record is from RNAcentral.